This is a non-coding RNA of Acanthosepion pharaonis, 82 nucleotides long. Lineage: Eukaryota; Metazoa; Mollusca; Cephalopoda; Sepiida; Sepiidae. The record is from the annotation of a GenBank genome assembly.
GAACACCGCUUUGCGAUCACCGAAGUUAAGCAGCCUCGAGCCUGGUCAGUACUUAGAUGGGUGACUGUUUAGGAAUACAAGG